RNAcentral lists this ribosomal RNA (253 nucleotides) under uncultured bacterium. Its description in RNAcentral is "partial 16S ribosomal RNA". It matches the Rfam family "Bacterial small subunit ribosomal RNA", at positions 524 to 776 of the family's 1533-position model. The record is from RNAcentral.
UACGUAGGGCGCAAGCGUUGUCCGGAAUUAUUGGGCGUAAAGAGCUCGUAGGCGGUUUGUCGCGUCUGCUGUGAAAACCUAAGGCUCAACCUUGGGCUUGCAGUGGGUACGGGCAGACUAGAGUGCGGUAGGGGUGACUGGAAUUCCUGGUGUAGCGGUGAAAUGCGCAGAUAUCAGGAGGAACACCGGUGGCGAAGGCGGGUCUCUGGGCCGUAACUGACGCUGAGGAGCGAAAGCGUGGGGAGCGAACAGG